AAAAAACAACCAAAACAGGCGUACAACUCCAAAAACUCGAACAACAAUGACAAGCCCGAUUCAGUGAAUCCACCAUCGAGCCAACCCAAAAUCGAUCCUAAACCAUUUCUUUUCCAUCUUUCACGCGUCUCACGCGGCAGUAGGAUAAGGAAAACCCUCGAACCUUCUAGAAAACGAGUUAGGUGUCAUCUCCAAUGGUUCAAUACCGUAAAUUUUGGGAGAACUCGUACGAUCUCGUAUAAUAUUUGGCUGAUUUCCAUAGGUUUUGGGGAAGAAUUCGUUUUCCCUAAAUCUCAUUGGUCCACCAAUUUCAAUAUUGGUAUAAUCGAUUGAUGAAACCCUAAGCGGUGGGAGGAUUUUUGAAUUCCAAAAUUCAAAAACAUCCUUCUUUUAAAAAGACCCCGGGGGUCACUAUUCCAGGGGAUUUUUGGUUUCUUCUCUCCUCUUCUUUCCCUUAGGAGUUGAAAAUUUUAGAAGCCUCUGUUUUUUUGUUUAGAGAAAUUUUGGGUUCAAAAAAAGGGGGAAAUUCUUAGAUUGGAAAAUUUUAAGUCACGGUUGAGGGUUACUUUUCCUUCUGAGGUGGAAAAAUUAAGGGAGAAAGCUAGGUUGGAACAUUUUUCUGAGAAAAAUUUCUGAUUCGAAAAAACUGAGAUAGAGGGAAGAAAGAAAAAGAAAAGAUUUCUGAAGAAAGAUUAAAUCUUUGAAGUUUUCCGGUGGUAGUGAUCCCUGUAUCAGUUCGUCAUCUUGUUUUGCUGCUCCCGAAAAGGUAACAUCCUAUUUUCGUUUAAUUUUGAUUAUAUUUCUGCUCCAUCUCAUUAUUCUAUAGUGAUGACUAGCAUUCCAAAGAUUUUGUAAGCUAGGUUGUCUGCUGUAGAGGUCUUCAAGACCACAAGUUUCCAUUUUAGUGAAAGGAAAUAUUUCUUUGUAGUUCUACGUUGGGAUGAAUUCCUAUUGUGAUUGUAUAACAUGUGGUGUUCAUUGUCUUUAGAUCUCAAUUUCGUGAUUGGUCAUCUACUCUCAGCAUUACUGAUUAAUUUCUAUCCUAAUGCAUCAUCUUGUGGACUGUCUGUGAUUUGAAGCAGUUGAAGAUCAUAUUUUGAUUCUGUCUUAACAAUUUUCAUCCUCUUGUUGCCUUGAUUCGUAGUUGUAGUUUUAUAAUCUUAAGUGCUCAGUGUAGCUCGUUGGGAGUUUAUGAAAGCCCCAAGUUUCAUAUGAUAAACUGUGAGCUUUCAAACUUUGUUGUUGUUUCUGCAUUUAGGACACAUUAAUUUUUAGAGUUUCCUAUUUCCUUAUAAUUCAUAUGGGAGCAUUUGCUUUUGUUCAUAUUUUGAAGUUGAUUCAUUUCUCUUGAAAUUCUAUAUUUUGAACCAUCGUGGGUUCCUUUUCAUCGAUUGAUCCAUCAUAUUACUUAUUUGUGUGUCAUCUGGUAUUCUAGAUGGAUUUUGAUUUCCUUUAUCUUUUUCCUUGCAUGUGAAUUCAUUUUGGAAUCUGAAUGGAUUCUUUCCCAUUGCAUCUCUUAAUGGUCCAUUAAGGCCCUCCAUGCCAUCAAGUCAAGCCCCUAAAGAAAGCCUAAAAUGAAUUUCAUGGCGUACGGAUACGAGACGUCGAAAGAAGAGAGACGAUGGGUUAAAGCCCCAUCUUUAAAGUGGCAAAGAGACUCAAAAGUCUCAUUUAUUAGUUUAUUUAUUUACUUAUCGAUUUUAUUCAUUUUAUUUAUUUAUUUAUU
This 1726-nucleotide long non-coding RNA is filed under the name Capsicum annuum. RNAcentral describes it as "long non-coding RNA (CANN_LNC010774)". The record is from RNAcentral. Lineage: Eukaryota; Viridiplantae; Streptophyta; Magnoliopsida; Solanales; Solanaceae.